AACCCUCUGCAGCUCAGUUUCCUCAGCCUCAUAGGGUUAUCGUGAGGAGUGAAGAAACAGUGAGUAUCUAUAAACAGUUAGAAGAGGGUCUGGUGUAUUGUGAACCUCCUAGGAAUUUGCCAUAAUUCUAAAAAUCUCUUCUUGUCCCUGGCUUCUCUCCUGUUUAGCAGUGAUGGGCCCUGGAGCCUUUCUCCUGAGGAGAGGGAGUUGUUGGGGAGAGACUGCAAAUGCUUCUUACUUAAUUCCUUUCUUUCUUUCUUUUUUUCCUUUUUGAACACAAAAGGAGUUGAAAAUGGUCAAAGAUCCUCCUGAAAAAAUGCUUCCACAUUUUGAAUAAAUAUAUUCUACUUUGUUUUUGCUUUCCCAUUUCCCCCUGAAGAGAUAAUUAUUUAACAAUAAAAUUUUGCAUUGACUCUGGAUGCUGAUAGUGGCAUCAGCACCCUACCCCUGACCUCACAAGCCCAUCUAGCCUGCACCUGUCUUCUCUCUUACUCUUGAAACGGCGAAGCCCUCUUCCCAUAUGAAGUUCAGUCUCUCACCUAUGCUGGAGAUCCCAGCGACCUCACCAUCUCAGAAGUCCUGCAUUCUCAAUUACUCCUCUUUUGUACCCACCUCUCCUUCCCAAUUACAUCUUUCCCACCAACAUUUCGCUCCUUCUCAUCUUAAGUCAGACGAGGUAACCCUCCGUAGAUUCCAUAUCCCUUUUGAGCUACUGUCCUAUCUUCUCCUUCACGUGAUAUUUCUUGAAAGAUAUCCUCAUCUUCCAGUUACUUCUCAACCCACUCGGGCCUGGCUUCCCUGCUGUCAGCGUAACAGAACAGCUGUUACUAAGGUGACCCAUAACCUUAUGUCACUAAAUCCACAGGCAUUUUUCAGGACUUACCUUACUUUGACUUACAAAAAUAUUCAAUAGUGUUGACUUACUGAACUCCUUAUUGAAACUUUUUAAAAGAUAUUUACAUGUGGUUUUUUUAAUUUAAUUUUUUAGGUGGUGGGAGGGAGGUAAAUAGGUUUCAUUUACUUGUUUUGUUUUGUUUUUAGAGGAGGUACUGGGAAUUGAACCCAGGACCUCGUGCAUGCUAAGCAUUUGCUCUACCACUUUGGACUAUAUCCUGCCCCCUUAUUGAAACUUUUUUAUUCACCAUUGGCUAUCUGUUGUUCUGUGAAGAACAAAGCACUGUGUCUCUGACCCAGGAGUCUCAUGUCUGAUGCUGGCAUCCAGGAAACAGUGUCUAACUUAUUACAUAACUUAUGAGUAGGGUAAAGUCAAAUCCCAGACAUGACACUAAGCAUUGUAUGCCUAGCAGCCCCAUAGUGCCUGGCGUGAAGUACAUGUUCUGUAUUUAUUUGUGAGGUGGGUGGAUGCCGAGACAUUGCAGGGAUCAAGCCCUGUCAGAACAGACACCUGUGUUCUGGGAUUGUGGGGGAGACAGCUGAGGGAACACGAAGGUUAAUUUGAUCUGAAGUCUCUCUGGAUUUUGUGUUUAACUGGAGAGUAUUUUGAUCAGUCAGCUUCUCUUCUGAUACGUAAACCAUCCGACACGGGUAAUCCUGUUAGUUCCAUCUUACUCUGAAUUACUUGAAUUGAUGUUACGUCCUAACAUUUAGCUGAGUUUAGCAGUGGUACAUGAGGAGGGCUGAUGUGGGAGGUAGGGCAGCCUGGGGUGGGCAGAGGCCUGGGUUCUGUUUCAAAGGGGGAAUUCUGGAUAUUCCUAGGUUUCUUGGAGUGGGUGUGUGGGUGAGGGAAGCUAGAAGUGAAAAGGGGCAGUGGGACAACAGCAAAGGCAAACUUGGUCGGCCUUGAGACCUCCCCAAAGCUUGGGAGCAGUAGCUGGAGACACGCCAUAGAAGUUCAUCUCUGAAGCUGCUGAUGCCAGAAUGCUUCAGACUGUAACUGUCUCUGUUAGUAUAGACUGUUUGCCUUUUGCAAAUACCAUUUUUUAAAGUGACAUAAGCAAGUUUUUGCACAUAGAGUAAAAUUGUUUUCAGGACAGAUAAAAGAGUAGAAAGAAGGAAUGAGAACAUUAAAUUUGUAACUGUUAAGAUUUUUUAAAUUAGAAGUUGAAUAAAGUGUAGAAAGGCUAACAGCCUUUAGAGUGACAGAGGGGUUCUUGGAGUUGGCAAACAUGGCAAGAAUUAUCUAGGCUUUGACUCUCUGCAGGAGGGAUAUCACCCCUAAGUGGGGGUAAAAAUUGGUCCUUAGGGGACAGAAAAAAACCUUAGUUAUUCAGUGGCCUACAUGGCCAGAGUACCUAAACAGAAAUGUAGCGCAUUUGUGGUAUUAAAAUUUCAUGGUGGGAGGGGGGGAUUAAGGGAAAAUGUCUUAAAGUCUCCUUACUGGGGCGAUAAUGAAAAAAAGAUUGAGAAACACUGGACUAGAUGAUUCAAAUGGAAGGAUUUUUUUGACCACCAAUGGGUCCUCCUGGGGAAAUGAAUUGGAAAUGUGUUGUCUCAGCAGAAGGAAAAGAUCUUACACGUUGUCUAGUGAGUGUCCAUUGGGAGAUCUAAAAGCAGCAGUGAGCAGCUGGGUCACCCCCUCAGCUGUUCAGUAGGUGAUAAGCUGCUGGCUCCAUAUAGCUUCAGUGCCCAGACACACAGGGCCAGCUCCUGGACACAGCAAACGGAAGGUAUGAAUCGGGGUGGGAGUCAGGAUUCUAGGAGUUAAACCACCCGCCUUCUACCCUCCUGAUUUAUUUUGUUCUGUUCUGUUCUGUUCUUACCUGCCUCCCUCCCUACUCCUCUCCUGCUAGCUCUCAAGACUCCCAUUAUUCACCUUUGCUGGAGGCCAGGGGAUCAAUAGCAAAGUUAAUGAGUGAAUGAAAAGAAUGCUAGAAACAGAGAACCACAAGCUGACAUCCAAGAAAGAACUGACGUUCAGCCGUAUGGUUUUAGUGUGCAAAGCCAAGGGCUGCUGUACACAGUGCCAGGCUGGACUUCUCAGGACUCGAAGAAUUGUAACAGCUACUCAGGGACUUUGCCAGUCAGCACUCGGACGAAGGUUGAUUUGCACCAUGAAGGCAGGGCUCCUGGAAGUCCCACCGCAGCAGACCUUGGAGGUCUUUCAUUCAUCCAAGACAUGCAGCUGCACAGAGUUGCCUCCAGGGCCAAAACCCACCAACAGGAAAACAGCCUCUCAGAAAUAGACAAUCCGCUUCUCAUCUUCAAAUACUUUGGCCUCCUCUGGCUUUAUCAAGUUCCCAUUUAAGCUGUUGGAGAAGAACAAAGAACACAAAAGUGAAUCCUCAGAGCAGAAACAGGAAGUCAAGAAAGAGCACAGUCAGCUCAAACCCAGCCUAGAAGCCCAGAGAAGGAAAAGAAUGAGCUUCAAACUCCACGUCCACACAGCCAUCUCUCAGUCUCAUGAGUCCCGGAGUGAUUCACCUUCAGCAGGAAUCCUUCUGCAGGGGUGCCCAAUCAAAAACAUGGAGACUACCAGUCUAAACAACAAUUUCUAAGAAACCAUCUGGAGAACCGGCAGUCUGAUGUCUCCUUCCAGGUGGCUAGAGAAAGCAACUCAAACAGCCACAAAGACUCCACCCGGAGGUGGCCCCUGCCCCGGCUGAUUUGAGGCAGGAAGCAGAAGUGUCGGCCUCGUCAGCAUCUGCUCAGGCUCGAGCAGGACAGGCAGCAGACUGCUCGAGGAGAGGCCAGACAGGACACGGAACAUCAGCAACACUUGGGACACAGCCGACUGCAGGCUGAGGCGGCCAGGCUGACAUCUCACAGGUACCCAUCAGCGAGGCCUGGAGAAGCUUCCUCUGCUCUCAUAAGAAAGGAACUCUGCUAUUGCCCCUACCAUAUUAGACUCUCUGCCAGUGACAGGAAGGACGCGGGUAACUGGGAGACAUCCAAGCCUCAGAGAUUCGGCCAGAAAAGGAGGGCCGGGGAGGAGCAGGUCUAUUUCCAGAGAUAACAGGUUCCUGCUUGUCCCAGCACCAUCCUGAGGGUGACGGAGGGACAGGAAUCUGUUGCCCAGUGUCCCUUUCAGUUUUAUUUGGACUGAAUAAUUCCUUCCCCACCUCCAGGGGGCCUGGGGAGGUGGCGGGGGCUGGCAGCACCCUAUGUCUUAAUCUGACUGGCGUGUGCAUGUGUCACACCAUGGAGCUGAAAACUCAAGCUUUCUGUAUGCCUUUAUUGUAUGUCUCUUAUAGUCAAUAAAAACGUUUUUAAAAAGAAAAA
This is a non-coding RNA of Vicugna pacos (alpaca), 4179 nucleotides long. The record is from RefSeq and is a predicted model, not a curated record. Lineage: Eukaryota; Metazoa; Chordata; Mammalia; Artiodactyla; Camelidae.